GACGAACGCUGGCGGCGUGCCUAAUACAUGCAAGUAGAACGCUGAAGAGAGGAGCUUACUCUUCUUGGAUGAGUUGCGAACGGGUGAGUAGCGCGUAGGUAACCUGCCUUGUAGCGGGGGAUAACUAUUGGAAACGAUAGCUAAUACCGCAUAACAAUGGAUGACACAUGUCAUUUAUUUGAAAGGGGCAAUUGCUCCACUACAAGAUGGACCUGCGUUGUAUUAGCUAGUAGGUGAGGUAAUGGCUCACCUAGGCGACGAUACAUAGCCGACCUGAGAGGGUGAUCGGCCACACUGGGACUGAGACACGGCCCAGACUCCUACGGGAGGCAGCAGUAGGGAAUCUUCGGCAAUGGGGGCAACCCUGACCGAGCAACGCCGCGUGAGUGAAGAAGGUUUUCGGAUCGUAAAGCUCUGUUGUAAGUCAAGAACGGGUGUGAGAGUGGAAAGUUCACACUGUGACGGUAGCUUACCAGAAAGGGACGGCUAACUACGUG
RNAcentral lists this ribosomal RNA (497 nucleotides) under uncultured bacterium. RNAcentral describes it as "partial 16S ribosomal RNA". It matches the Rfam family "Bacterial small subunit ribosomal RNA", at positions 28 to 507 of the family's 1533-position model. The record is from RNAcentral.